AUAAUUUUAGGGAUUGGGCCUUUGGACAAACUCUGAAUUCCUAAAGCUGCUCUUAGCUGAAAAAAAAGUUUGGUACCACUGAUUUUGAAGGUCCUCUUUCUAGGCAACGAAUAUUAUAAAAAAACAGAUGACGCUGUUCUCCAUGUUUUCUACCCCAGAUGUCAGAAGGUCUAGGCAACCUGCCCAUAUAGUUUCGGCCCCUUUACUCUAGAACAAUGGGAAGUACAUAGGAAGAGGACUUCAAGGAAAAUCAGUUGGAAAGAACACCUUCUUAUCUCCCUCCAUCAGAAUCAUUAACUCUACAGAAGCAGAAAUGGCCAACAGUCUCUGUAUCAUCAUUCUGACAGUCUCUUCUCUAUAUGACUUGCUGAAAGCACAAGACCUGUAUGAUCUCCCUGGUCACUCACAGAGAAGACAAACAAAAAGUGUUUUAUGAACAAUUCCAACAGAUUUCAGAAGAAGAAAUUGCAUCAGACAGGUGAGGCGGAAGCAGCUGGCAGACAAAAGUCCAAUAAACAACCAAUCCAACGAAAGAAAUUCAGAACAAGUCUGCUUCAGUAAUCCUGUGAAGAGGACUGGCAGGAAGAGGAGUGCCGCUUCAGAAAGAGAACAGGCCUCAUAUGCUUCAGACAGUCUUUGUAUUGAGGCUGUGGACCUUGGCCAUUCUCCCAGAAAUGAUGCAAUCCUGAUGAACAAGAUCUGCUGCCAGAGAAACAAUUGUUAACAGCCUAUGCAGACAGCAACUCAGCCAAGGAGCAAUCUCUGAUCAACUCUCUCCAUAAACCAACAGAACGCCAAAAUCUCUCUUCCUCAAUUUCAGUGUCUGACAAAACAUAAAGUGAACACAGUAUAUAUUAAGAUACAUAAGAACAAGCCAUUUUCUCAAAGGGUCCUUUUUCUUUUAAUUCCUUAGGCUGUACAAUAUCCAUUAUUAAAUUUCAGAUAAAAUACUGAACAUUUUUUACUUUUAUAAAUACAAUUAUCCAAGCACAUCAAUAGUAAUAACAUAAAUAUGAAAAUUUAUACUUAUUUUCCUCAUUCUCAUAAGAAAACCUUUUUGGGAGGCAGUGGCUUCCCUAAGCAUAAAAACUGCUCUGAAAUCUAUCAUCCAGCUAUAACAUUUCAAGUAAACACAAAUAUACAUACACUCUAAUUCAGAGACAGAAAGUAUAUUUCAUAGAUAUUUUUGAAAGUAGAUAAAAGUCAAUGUUAAAUAUUGGCAUCUAUCAGAGAAAAGAGAAAAUCUAAUCUUGCUUAGGCUGACAUAUAAGGUAUGCUGAUAACAACCACUUUUUUGCAGGGCAAC
This 1306-nucleotide long non-coding RNA is filed under the name Homo sapiens (human). RNAcentral's name for it is "HSALNT0050733". Lineage: Eukaryota; Metazoa; Chordata; Mammalia; Primates; Hominidae. The record is from RNAcentral.